UGCACCUACGGGGGGCAGCAGUAGGGAAUUUUCGUCAAUGGGCGCAAGCCUGAACGAGCGAUGCCGCGUGAGUGAAGAAGGCCUUCGGGUCGUAAAGCUCUGUUGCGGGGGAAAAAGGCAGCAUCAGGAAAUGGGUGCUGACUGAUGGUGCCCCGCCAGAAAGUCACGGCUAACUACGUGCCAGCAGCCGCGGUAAUACGUAGGUGGCAAGCGUUGUCCGGAUUUACUGGGUGUAAAGGGCGUGUAGCCGGGUUGACAAGUCAGAUGUGAAAUCCUGCGGCUUAACCGCAGAACUGCAUUUGAAA
Molecule: ribosomal RNA, 305 nt
Filed under: uncultured bacterium
Lineage: Bacteria
Description: bacterial SSU rRNA
Rfam family: Bacterial small subunit ribosomal RNA
Source: RNAcentral